This 423-nucleotide ribosomal RNA is filed under the name uncultured bacterium. RNAcentral's name for it is "bacterial SSU rRNA". It matches the Rfam family "Bacterial small subunit ribosomal RNA", at positions 355 to 787 of the family's 1533-position model. The record is from RNAcentral.
UGGGGAAUAUUGGGCAAUGGGGGAAACCCUGACCCAGCAACGCCGCGUGAAGGAAGAAGGCCUUCGGGUUGUAAACUUCUUUUACCAGGGACGGAGGACGUGACGGUACCUGGAGAAAAAGCAACGGCUAACUACGUGCCAGCAGCCGCGGUAAUACGUAGGUUGCGAGCGUUGUCCGGAUUUACUGGGUGUAAAGGGCGUGUAGGCGGAGAAAGCAAGUUGGGAGUGAAAUCUAUGGGCUCAACCCAUAAAACUGCUCUCAAAAACUGUUUCCCUUGAGUAUCGGAGAGGCAAGCGGAAUUCCUAGUGUAGCGGUGAAAUGCGUAGAUAUUAGGAGGAACACCAGUGGCGAAGGCGGCUUGCUGGACGACAACUGACGCUGAGGCGCGAAAGACGUGGGGAGCAAACAAGGAUUAGAUACCC